This 484-nucleotide ribosomal RNA is filed under the name uncultured bacterium. RNAcentral describes it as "partial 16S ribosomal RNA". It matches the Rfam family "Bacterial small subunit ribosomal RNA", at positions 30 to 507 of the family's 1533-position model. The record is from RNAcentral.
AUUGAACGCUGGCGGCAGGCCUAACACAUGCAAGUCGAGCGGAUGAAGGGAGCUUGCUCCUGGAUUCAGCGGCGGACGGGUGAGUAAUGCCUAGGAAUCUGCCUGGUAGUGGGGGAUAACGUCCGGAAACGGGCGCUAAUACCGCAUACGUCCUGAGGGAGAAAGUGGGGGAUCUUCGGACCUCACGCUAUCAGAUGAGCCUAGGUCGGAUUAGCUAGUUGGUGGGGUAAAGGCCUACCAAGGCGACGAUCCGUAACUGGUCUGAGAGGAUGAUCAGUCACACUGGAACUGAGACACGGUCCAGACUCCUACGGGAGGCAGCAGUGGGGAAUACUGGACAAUGGGCGAAAGCCUGAUCCAGCCAUGCCGCGUGUGUGAAGAAGGUCUUCGGAUUGUAAAGCACUUUAAGUUGGGAAGAAGGGCAGUAAGUUAAUACCUUGCUGUUUUGACGUUACCAACAGAAUAAGCACCGGCUAACUUCGUG